Molecule: ribosomal RNA, 873 nt
Filed under: uncultured bacterium
Lineage: Bacteria
Description: bacterial SSU rRNA
Rfam family: Bacterial small subunit ribosomal RNA
Source: RNAcentral
GGAUCAGUCAGUCUNUCUUAAAAGUUCGGGGCUUAACCCCGUGAUGGGAUGGAAACUGCUGAUCUAGAGUAUCGGAGAGGAAAGUGGAAUUCNUAGUGUAGCGGUGAAAUGCGUAGAUAUUAGGAAGAACACCAGUGGCGAAGGCGACUUUCUGGACGAAAACUGACGCUGAGGCGCGAAAGCCAGGGGAGCGAACGGGAUUAGAUACCCCGGUAGUCCUGGCCGUAAGCGAUGGGUACUAGGUGUAGGAGGUAUCGACCCCUUCUGUGCCGGAGUUAACGCAAUAAGUACCCCGCCUGGGGAGUACGACCGCAAGGUUGAAACUCAAAGGAAUUGACGGGGGCCCGCACAAGCGGUGGAGUAUGUGGUUUAAUUCGACGCAACGCGAAGAACCUUACCAGGUCUUGACAUUGAUGGACAGAACCAGAGAUGGUUCCUCUUCUUCGGAAGCCAGAAAACAGGUGGUGCACGGUUGUCGUCAGCUCGUGUCGUGAGAUGUUGGGUUAAGUCCCGCAACGAGCGCAACCCCUAUCUUAUGUUGCCAGCACGUAAUGGUGGGAACUCAUGAGAGACUGCCGCAGACAAUGCGGAGGAAGGCGGGGAUGACGUCAAAUCAUCAUGCCCCUUAUGACCUGGGCUACACACGUACUACAAUGGGAGUUAAUAGACGGAAGCGAGAUCGCGAGAUGGAGCAAACCCGAGAAACACUCUCUCAGUUCGGAUCGUAGGCUGCAACUCGCCUACGUGAAGUCGGAAUCGCUAGUAAUCGCAGGUCAGCAUACUGCGGUGAAUACGUUCCCGGGCCUUGUACACACCGCCCGUCACACCACGAAAGUCGGAAGUGCCCAAAGCCGGUGGGGUAACCUUCGGGAG